UUGAUUAAUUAGUUGUAUGUUUUAAUAUGCCCUUUUAAUCAUGCUGUGAUAUGGUUGAUAUUUCUCUUUCAAGCAAACCUUGCAAUAGAAGGUUUUCGACAAGCUUUGAUUCAAAUAGUGAUUUUGUGAACAUAUUUGCUUACAUAAUGGUUGUAGAGCAAUAGCAAAAUUAAACUUUGUUGAAGUUUGCAAACUGCCAUAUAAAAUAAUAUCAAAUAACAAUAUAUUUGGAUUAUAAAAUUUGAUUAUGCAGAAUGAUACAAAAGCAGAUUGGUUCUUAUAAUGGAUUAGGGUUGAUUGCUUUAGGAUUUCAUCUUGCUCAAGAUCUUCAAGUAAAUAAUAUAGACAAACCAAUUUGGAAGCAGUAAUAGCUAUUGCCAUGUAUUUCGUCUU
Molecule: long non-coding RNA, 393 nt
Filed under: Physcomitrium patens
Lineage: Eukaryota; Viridiplantae; Streptophyta; Bryopsida; Funariales; Funariaceae
Description: long non-coding RNA (PPAT_LNC011034)
Source: RNAcentral